Molecule: ribosomal RNA, 253 nt
Filed under: uncultured bacterium
Lineage: Bacteria
Description: partial 16S ribosomal RNA
Rfam family: Bacterial small subunit ribosomal RNA
Source: RNAcentral
UACGUAGGGGGCAAGCGUUGUCCGGAUUUAUUGGGCGUAAAGAGCGUGUGGGCGGCCAGGUAGGUCUGCUGUGAAAACUCGAGGCUUAACCUCGAGCUGUCGGCGGAAACCAUCUGGCUAGAGUCCGGAAGAGGGAAGCGGAAUUCCCGGUGUAGUGGUGAAAUGCGUAGAUAUCGGGAGGAACACCAGUGGCGAAGGCGGCUUUCUGGUCUGCUCUUGACGCUGAGGCGCGAAAGCUAGGGUAGCAAACGGG